AUUGAACGCUGGCGGCAGGCCUAACACAUGCAAGUCGAGCGGAUGAAGGGAGCUUGCUCCUGGAUUCAGCGGCGGACGGGUGAGUAAUGCCUAGGAAUCUGCCUGGUAGUGGGGGAUAACGUCCGGAAACGGGCGCUAAUACCGCAUACGUCCUGAGGGAGAAAGUGGGGGAUCUUCGGACCUCACGCUAUCAGAUGAGCCUAGGUCGGAUUAGCUAGUUGGUAGGGUAAAGGCCUACCAAGGCGACGAUCCGUAACUGGUCUGAGAGGAUGAUCAGUCACACUGGAACUGAGACACGGUCCAGACUCGUACGGGAGGCAGCAGUGGGGAAUAUUGGACAAUGGGCGAAAGCCUGAUCCAGCCAUGCCGCGUGUGUGAAGAAGGUCUUCGGAUUGUAAAGCACUUUAAGUUGGGAGGAAGGGCAGUAAGUUAAUACCUUGCUGUUUUGACGUUACCAACAGAAUAAGCACCGGCUAACUUCGUG
This 484-nucleotide ribosomal RNA is filed under the name uncultured bacterium. RNAcentral's name for it is "partial 16S ribosomal RNA". It matches the Rfam family "Bacterial small subunit ribosomal RNA", at positions 30 to 507 of the family's 1533-position model. The record is from RNAcentral.